This 222-nucleotide unclassified non-coding RNA is filed under the name air metagenome. RNAcentral's name for it is "partial contains small subunit ribosomal RNA, internal transcribed spacer 1, and 5.8S ribosomal RNA". The stretch from base 1 to 46 matches the Rfam family "Eukaryotic small subunit ribosomal RNA", at positions 1786 to 1831 of the family's 1831-position model. The record is from RNAcentral.
AAGUCGUAACAAGGUCUCCGUAGGUGAACCUGCGGAGGGAUCAUUACUGAGUGAGGGCCCCCCGGCCCGACCUCCAACCCUUUGUAAUCCGACUCUGUUGCCUCGGGGGCGACCCUGCCUUCGGGCGUUGGGGCCCCCGGUGGACCACUCAACUCUGCAUCUAUGCGUCUGAGUACCAAUUAAAUUAAAUCAAAACUUUCAACAACGGAUCUCUUGGUUCUG